AACAAGGUCUCCGUUGGUGAACCAGCGGAGGGAUCAUUAUCGAGUUAUUCAACUCCCAAACCCUAUGUGAACUUACCACUUGUUGCUUCGGCGCGCGCUUCGGCGCCGCCGAGGACACUUAAACUCUUUGUUUUUAUAAGCAUUUCUGAGUGGCCGAAAGGCAAAAAUACAAAUGAAUCAAAACUUUCAACAACGGAUCUCUUGGUUCUGGCAUCGAUGAAGAACGCAGCGAAAUGCGAUAAGUAAUGUGAAUUGCAGAAUUCAGUGAAUCAUCGAAUCUUUGAACGCACAUUGCGCCCGCCAGCAUUCUGGCGGGCAUGCCUGUUCGAGCGUCAUUUCAACCCUCGAGCCCGACUCUUUUGAGGACGGCUCGGCGUUGGGGGACGGCAGACUCCCCCCGGCAUCUCGCCGGGGACGCCGCCCCCGAAAUCUGGUGGCGGCCCUCCGAGGCGACCUCUGCGUAGUAACUUGUUCUCGCACCGGAAAGCUCAGAGCGGCCACGCCGUAAAACCCCAACUUUUUUCAGGUUGACCUCGAAUCAGGUAGGACUACCCGCUGAACUUAAGCAUAUCAAUA
This 576-nucleotide ribosomal RNA is filed under the name uncultured eukaryote. RNAcentral's name for it is "eukaryotic LSU rRNA". The stretch from base 182 to 335 matches the Rfam family "5.8S ribosomal RNA". The record is from RNAcentral.